GGGGGGGGGGGGGGGGGUGGGUAGUGGGUGCGGGUGGGGGGGAGGGACGGGGGGCUUGCUGGUCGGAUGUUGGCGGCGGCCGGGUGAGUCACCCGUGGAUAACCUCCCUAUGCGACUUGGAUAACUUCCGGCAACCGUCGCUCAUACCGGAUCAUAUUUUGAACCGCAUGGUUCACAAUUGAACGACUUUCUUGCUUUCACUUGUCGAUGGAUCCGGCCUUCAUUAGCUAGUUGGUAAGGUAACGGCUUACCAAGGCAACGAUUCAUAUCCGACCUGACAGGGUGAUCGGCCACACUGGAACUGAGACACGGUCCAGACUCCUACGGGAGGCAGCAGUAGGGAAUCUUCCGAAAUGGGCGAAAGCCUGACGGAGCAACGCCGCGUGAGUGAUGAAGGUCUUCGGAUCGUAAAACUCUGUUAUUAGGGAAGAACAUAUGUGUAAGUAACUGUGCACAUCUUGACGGUACCUAAUCAGAAAGCCACGGCUAACUACGUG
Molecule: ribosomal RNA, 497 nt
Filed under: uncultured bacterium
Lineage: Bacteria
Description: partial 16S ribosomal RNA
Rfam family: Bacterial small subunit ribosomal RNA
Source: RNAcentral